CGACCGCUGGCGGCGUGCUUAACACAUGCACGUCGUACGGUAAGGCCCUUUCGGGGGUACACGAGUGGCGAACGGGUGCGUAACACGAGAGUAACCUGCCCACAACUUUGGGAUAACGCUAGGAAACUGGUGCUAAUACUGGAUAUGUGCUCCUGCUGCAUGGUGGGGGUUGGAAAGCUCCGGCGGUUGUGGAUGGACUCGCGGCCUAUCAGCUUGUUGGUGGGGUAGUGGCCUACCAAGGCGGCGACGGGUAGCCGGCCUGAGAGGGUGACCGGCCACAUUGGGACUGAGAUACGGCCCAGACUCCUACGGGAGGCAGCAGGGGGGAAUAUUGCACAAUGGGCGCAAGCCUGAUGCAGCAACGCCGCGGGCGGGAUGACGGCCUUCGGGUUGUAAACCGCUUUCAGCAGGGACGAAGCUUUUUGUGACGGUACCUGCAGAAGAAGCACCGGCUAACUACGUG
RNAcentral lists this ribosomal RNA (463 nucleotides) under uncultured bacterium. Its description in RNAcentral is "partial 16S ribosomal RNA". It matches the Rfam family "Bacterial small subunit ribosomal RNA", at positions 30 to 507 of the family's 1533-position model. The record is from RNAcentral.